UGUUUAGGACGACCUAAGCAGGCUCUCAAUGCGGGACGACCCGC
This 44-nucleotide non-coding RNA is filed under the name Saccharophagus degradans. RNAcentral describes it as "Guanidine-II sequence". It matches the Rfam family "Guanidine-II riboswitch aptamer (mini-ykkC)". From Rfam's summary of the family: Simpler in structure and has fewer highly conserved nucleotide positions than the ykkC-yxkD leader. Despite this each of its two stem-loop structures directly bind free guanidine. Therefore, mini-ykkC RNA motif represents a distinct class of guanidine-sensing RNAs. Lineage: Bacteria; Pseudomonadati; Pseudomonadota; Gammaproteobacteria; Cellvibrionales; Cellvibrionaceae. RNAcentral also lists the same sequence under 1 other name. The record is from RNAcentral.